Molecule: unclassified non-coding RNA, 272 nt
Filed under: Hevea brasiliensis (rubber tree)
Lineage: Eukaryota; Viridiplantae; Streptophyta; Magnoliopsida; Malpighiales; Euphorbiaceae
Source: RNAcentral
AAUAUUGUCACCACAAACAUAAUCUUCCUCAAGGCCCUGCUCUUCACAGUAUAACCCAUCAAAAACGAAUGCUGGGGUGAAAAGCUGUUGGUCCUCCUCUAAGUGCAAAGCCAUCUUCUUCAAAGAAGAAGAGAUUGAGUCCUCUUCUCAUCGUACCAUCAAAGAACAUAAAAUCUCAAACUCCUUGCAUAUCACCAUACACCUUUCUCUCUCUGCAGAAUGUAGUGACACAGAGAGAGCAGAGACAGAGAGGAAAAGGGAGGGAUAGAUGG